CCCUUAGAUGUCCGGGGCUGCAUGCGCGCUACACUGAAGGAAUCAGCGUGCUAAAACCAUUGUCGAAAGGCAUUGGUAAACCCAUUAAAAUCCUACGUGAUUGGGAUCGGGAAUUGCAAUUAUUUCCCUUGAACGAGGAAUUCCCAGUAAGUGUGGGUCAUAAGCUCGCGUUGAUUACGUCCCUGCCCUUUGUACACACCGCCCGUCGCUGCCCGGGACUGAGCCGUUUCGAGAAAAGCGGGGACUGCUGCUGUCGGGGCUUUCGGGCCUUGGCUUCGGUGGAAACCGCUUUAAUCGCAGUGGCUUGAACCGGGCAAAANUCGUANCA
Molecule: ribosomal RNA, 328 nt
Filed under: uncultured eukaryote
Lineage: Eukaryota
Description: partial 18S ribosomal RNA
Rfam family: Eukaryotic small subunit ribosomal RNA
Source: RNAcentral